Molecule: transfer RNA, 70 nt
Filed under: Parupeneus cyclostomus (goldsaddle goatfish)
Lineage: Eukaryota; Metazoa; Chordata; Actinopteri; Syngnathiformes; Mullidae
Description: tRNA-Tyr
Rfam family: tRNA
About the family: Transfer RNA (tRNA) molecules are approximately 80 nucleotides in length.
Source: RNAcentral
GGUAAAAUGGCUGAGUUUUAAGCGGUGGACUGUAAACCCAUAUACAGGGGUUUGAUUCCCCUUUUUAUCA